UCCAGAUUGAAGGAAUGUUAUUUUCAGCUGCGGAGUUGUAUGAUAGUUUGCGACGGGAGCCUGUAUGGAUGUAGGGGCGACGUCGAAGAAGGCCGAACUGUCGGAGUCGGAGAAGCUGCUAGGACGUGUACCGAAGAGCCAUGAUCGUGUGGAGAUUUGCGGAGGAUGGGAAUGACCGCACAGAGGCCAGCAGUAAGGCUGCGAACAGCCACCACAUAGCAGCUGAUAAGCUGGACGUUCAGGCCGGCGAGCGGCGAUGAUCAGCCGCACAAGGUGAUCACGACAGUCAACGCGGGAGCAGGCCUUGUGUGGUCAAAACGGGAAAAAUCAUGCCGUGACAGGCGAUGGCCAGGCUAGGGUACAGUCCUGAAACUGAAGCAGCGCCGAAAAACCACCACAACCAGGGCUGAAGAAAGCAUAGAGGGAGGGAACCAGCAGGAGAAACCAGCAAUGGGACAAAGAGUCAAAAACACAAGUACAACUACGAACGAAACCCUGCCCAUUCAGAGACACCUGCACUGUGAUUUGAUUGGUUGAUGCACCUGAAGGAAAAGUUGCCCCUCCAUCACGGACCCCUGGCUGACAGAAAAGGGAAUAUUGCAAGUUGUGAUGUAAUGAGAUAUGAAGGGAAAUCGUCCUGCAGAAACCUCAGAUCGGAAUUUGCAAGACCUGUCUCUUCUGUCCUUGUCUCAUCAUGGACACGGUUCCAAAAAACACCUGGAAGUCACAGUAAGUACUCUCAGUUUCCCUCCACCUUUAAUGUGUUUCUAUUUGUGAAUUUUGAA
This is a long non-coding RNA of Toxotes jaculatrix (banded archerfish), 785 nucleotides long. RefSeq lists it as uncharacterized. The transcript is spliced from 4 exons. Lineage: Eukaryota; Metazoa; Chordata; Actinopteri; Toxotidae. The record is from RefSeq and is a predicted model, not a curated record.